UAGUGAUUACAGAUUUGAAACCUAUGUGAAUACUGAUAGCUUAAAAUAACAAAGGGCAAUUACUGAAAAAUAAUGCAGGGUAUGUUAUCAUUCUUGUGUGCUGCAUCCCUCCUCAGUAAAAUCCAUCCACCUAUGAAGUUUCAAGUUGAUACCUCAAAUACUUUUUGAGAAAAAAAUUGAAUUGAAAAAUUAAGUAUGAAAAAUAACAAAGGGCAAUAACACAACAAUUAUAAAAGGUAGAUUUAUCAUUCUUGUGCAGUGCACACCUCCUGAGUGAGAUCUAUGCACCUAUGAAGUUUCAUUUUGAUAUCUCAAAGGCUUUUUGAGUUAUGCUCUGGUCAAAAAUUAAUUUUGAAAAAUAACAAAGGGCAAUAAAUCAAAAAUAAUGCAGGGUAGAGUUAUCAUUCUUAAGCACUGCACUCCUCCUCAAUGAGAUCCAUCCAUCUUUGAAGUUUCAAGUUGAUACCUCAAAUACUUUUUCAGAUAAGCUCUGGACAAAAUAGCAUGAAAAAAAAAACAAAGGGCAAUAACUCAAAAAUUAUAUAGGGAAGAGUUAUCAUUCUUGCGUAUAACAUUCCUCCUCAAUAAGAUCUAUCCACCUAUGACAUUUCAUGUUGAUAUCUCAAACACUUUUUGAGUUAUGCUCAACUCAGUUGAAAAAUUAGGUAUGAAAAAUAACAAAGGGCAAUAACUCAAAAAUUAUGAAAGGUAGAGUUAUCAUUCUUGUGCACUGCACACCUCCUGAGUGAGAUCUAUGCACCUAUGAAGUUUCAUGUUAAUAUCUCAUAGGCUUAUGGAGUUAUGCUCUGGACAAAAAUCAAUUUUGAAAAAUAACAAAGGGCAAUAACUCAAAUAUCAUGCAAGGUAGAGUUAUCAUUCUUGUGCACUGCACUCCUCCUCAAUGAGGUCUAUCCACCUAUGAAGUUUCAAGUUGAUAACUCAAAUACUUUUAGAGAUAUGCUCCGGACAAAAAUGUCGGACGGAAGGACGGACGGAAUGUCGGACGGACGGAGACUAUUUUUAUAUCCUCCGCCGAAAUUUUUCGGCGGGGGAUAA
This is a long non-coding RNA of Ruditapes philippinarum (Manila clam), 1056 nucleotides long. RefSeq lists it as uncharacterized. The record is from RefSeq and is a predicted model, not a curated record. NCBI's taxonomy places the organism in Eukaryota, Metazoa, Mollusca, Bivalvia, Venerida, Veneridae. The transcript has 2 exons.